Molecule: ribosomal RNA, 254 nt
Filed under: uncultured bacterium
Lineage: Bacteria
Description: partial 16S ribosomal RNA
Rfam family: Bacterial small subunit ribosomal RNA
Source: RNAcentral
UACGGGGGGAGCAAGCGUUGUUCGGAUUUACUGGGCGUAAAGGGCGCGUAGGCGGUCAGCACAAGUCGGUUGUGAAAUCUCCGGGCUUAACCCGGAAAGGUCAACUGAUACUGUGCGACUAGAGUGCGGAAGGGGCAACUGGAAUUCUCGGUGUAGCGGUGAAAUGCGUAGAUAUCGAGAGGAACACCUGCGGCGAAGGCGGGUUGCUGGGCCGACACUGACGCUGAUGCGCGAAAGCCAGGGGAGCGAACGGG